GGGGGGCGUGUAUAUUGGGCUUAAGCGCUCGUAGCCGGUCAAGCAAGUCUCUGGUGAAAGCCCGAUGCUUAACGUCGGGAAGUGCUGGAGAUACUACAUAGCUAGGGAGCGGGAGAGGUAGACGGUAUUCGGUGGGUAGGGGUAAAAUCCUCUGAUCCAUUGAGGACCACCAGUGGCGAAGGCGGUCUGCCAGAACGCGUUCGACGGUGAGGGAUGAAAGCUGGGGGAGCAAACCGGAUUAGAUACCCGGGUAGUCCCAGCUGUAAACGAUGCAGACUCGGUGAUGCACUGGCUUUUGGCCAGUGCAGUGCCGCAGGGAAGCCGUUAAGUUUGCCGCCUGGGAAGUACGUACGCAAGUAUGAAACUUAAAGGAAUUGGCGGGGGAGCAC
RNAcentral lists this ribosomal RNA (389 nucleotides) under uncultured archaeon. RNAcentral describes it as "bacterial SSU rRNA". It matches the Rfam family "Archaeal small subunit ribosomal RNA", at positions 490 to 879 of the family's 1478-position model. The record is from RNAcentral.